RNAcentral lists this non-coding RNA (26 nucleotides) under Rattus norvegicus (Norway rat). The record is from RNAcentral. Lineage: Eukaryota; Metazoa; Chordata; Mammalia; Rodentia; Muridae.
UUCAUUUCCAAGACUUUGGUGUUUUA